ACAUCAAGAAAUAAAUAAAUUUAAAUGUGUGUAAUACGUCAAAUGUUUGCUUAAUAUCAUUUAAUAAUGAUUUGUUCAAUAUACAGAACCAAAGAUACACAUAACAAACACUUGUAGGUCACAUAAGGUUUAGCACAUUACAGAGUGUGGAAAUAAAAGUGUAAGACAAGAGAUAUAAUACAAUACUGUUGACCAAAACUUACUACAAAAUAUACCUUAAACUUAAAUCAUAACAUCGACAUGUUAUUAAAGACAUUCCAAAAUAACCAAAGUGUGUUGUUAACAAAAACGUUCACCCUGUUCCAUUCUGUAUCACCUACAACAAAGGUAAGGUAGGUUUAUAGUGUCUUAUGGUGUACAAGAUAGACACUAAUUACUACAGGUAAUCACUGCAGUUAUUGAGAAUAGGACCACUGUUAUAGUGUAUUAGGACAGUAAUAGAUAAGGUACAAAACAGUCUUAAGAGUGUAACACAUAAAGUACAAAACAAUCUCAAGACAGUAAUGCUUUCGACAGUGAUUACUAAAAGUAAUUUAAUUAUCUUUCUGGAUACUUUCAGUAAUACAAUGUUUAUUAACAAACAUAAAAAAUAUCAAAUAAGUAUAUCACACUUGACCAACAACUAGGCAGAAAAGUGCAGUCGAGGAGGUCAAACGUCGAUAAAUUAUUUUGUGAGGUAAUCAAAAUUACGAUCAUUCAUGAAAUGGAUUCGUGGCGUAUGUAUAAAAUAAUUAUUGGUAAAAAUCAGUUACAUUAACAUAUAGAAAAGCUAAUGCGUUUUGGUAACACUACAUUCCAAAAAUGACUUUUAUGUUACGUUGCCUAGUAACAAAAAUAUAACUUAAUAUCGUUGCUAGAGAACGAAUUAACGAAAGGCCUCUCGUGAAUACGUCGUUGGAGAAAGAACAAAAGAAAGGCCCCUAUUUUAUAUUUUAUUUUGUAUAUUGUUGUUAGUCUAUGUAUUGAAAAUAUGAAAUGAAAUGUAUUGACAACAAAACUGGAAAAA
Molecule: long non-coding RNA, 1006 nt
Organism: Limulus polyphemus (Atlantic horseshoe crab)
Lineage: Eukaryota; Metazoa; Arthropoda; Merostomata; Xiphosura; Limulidae
Exons: 2
Source: RefSeq, a predicted model, not a curated record